This 74-nucleotide transfer RNA is filed under the name Arthrobacter caoxuetaonis. Its description in RNAcentral is "Arthrobacter sp. zg-Y453 tRNA-Cys". It matches the Rfam family "tRNA". Rfam says of the family: Transfer RNA (tRNA) molecules are approximately 80 nucleotides in length. Their secondary structure includes four short double-helical elements and three loops (D, anti-codon, and T loops). Lineage: Bacteria; Bacillati; Actinomycetota; Actinomycetes; Micrococcales; Micrococcaceae. The record is from RNAcentral.
GGCGAUGUAGGCGAAUUGGCAGAGCCGCCGGUCUGCAAAACCGGAAUUUGGGGGUUCGAGUCCCCUCAUCGCUU